UCUGUGCGGUGUGAGUCAUCAUGUACCUCACUGCAGGGGAAUUCAUUGUGCUUUAUGGAGAACUCUGGUGACUGCAGGCUCCAGGACACCAGAAAGGCUUCUGCUUGGGCACGGAAGGAGGGCUAUAAGAACAGCCUUUCCCACCUGGCCUCCCAGAGAUGACUGGCUUCACCGCUGUGGCUUCCUCUGAGGUUGCUUGCCCUCUCCUACAUGCAGUGGCCCAUCUGUUCUUAUCCGUCUUUUACCAGCCUCCUCUGCCACAUCACAGUAUGAAGGUGCUUCUGUGUCCAUUCCACUGAGUCUCAAGUGAUGAUACACAGAACCAGGCCCAUCCGUGGUGAGCACCAUGAGUGGGUAGAUUUUGAGCUGUUACCUUCUGUAGACUUGACGUCCCUAUGGAUGUGUCAUCCCUUCCACCACAACCUAGAGAGACUGUCCAGUGGAUUGAAACAAGAGCCAGCUGCUUUAUGGAAAUCCUGGAGGCAGGCACAGAGCCUGGCUUUUCUGGGCACAGGGAUGGUUCCUGCCCAGGCUUAGAUUUCAUGAAGCUCAAGAAACUGGAGUUAGGAGUUGGGAGACCUGGAUUCUAAUUAUGGCAGCCCUUCCCACUUACAUAGCUGUGGUGAAGUCACUUUACCCCACAGACCCUUUUCUUUGUCCAUCAGCUGCCGGCGCCAGACCAGGUGGCAGCGAGGGCCCGGCCUGACUUGGACUGUGGUGGGUGGAGUGGCAGCGCUCAGUGCGGCUGCGCAAGCCCUAGCAGUGACCCAGGAGGCUCUACAGCGACUGCUUGGUGGGCCCUUGAGUCCGGGGGUCCAGCAAUGCAUUUUUCGGGGAGAAGGAGCCUUUUCUUUCCCCAGUGCUACAACUCAGAAUAAACAGCCAGUCUCAGGCGUCCUUUGGUGAAGUA
This is a long non-coding RNA of Psammomys obesus (fat sand rat), 910 nucleotides long. RefSeq lists it as uncharacterized. NCBI's taxonomy places the organism in Eukaryota, Metazoa, Chordata, Mammalia, Rodentia, Muridae. The record is from RefSeq and is a predicted model, not a curated record. The transcript is spliced from 5 exons.